ACAAAGAUGGUGAUAGGUAAGGUCAAAAUAUAGAGAUAUGGCAAAAAACAUCUCAAAAAAAUAAUGUUCAAAAUUUAGAAAAUACAAUAAAAUAUAAUUUUGACUCUGAAAUCGUUAGUCUUAGAAUCAACAAAUAUAUAAAUGAAAAGUUAUUGAACUUAAAUAUGUUUUAUAUGAGAGGCUCACGUCACCACUAACAAAUACUAUUAUAUACACGACAACACAUUAUUGAAAAAACAAACACAAAAUAUAUUAACAUAUCACUUACUACUACAUAAUACAGUAAAAAUACAAAUAAUACUUUUAACAAAUAAAGACAGCUUCAUAAUUAUAUCAUCCAGAAAACUCAUACUUAUUAACAAUAAAACAAUAUUCCGCGCGAAGCGCGGACACCCCCUAGUUCAAAAUAAAUCUAUGUUGAUGUAUGUUUUAGCACAUGUCAUCAGUGUAUGUACUGAUCGGGACCGCGACCCUCUGUUGAUGUAUGAAUUGGCCGAUUUCCCUGUGUGAGGUCCCUCUCUUUUAACUCAUCUUCUCUUUGUAUCUCUUAUACCUCAUACUGAUUACUUUUGAUAUGGCUAAUACAAGGGUUUUUUUUCUCCGAUUUUAAAAGGGGUCAUUGAUUAUACAGAAAGAAAUCCAAACUAAAACGUUGGAGAUAAUGAGGUUGCUUGAGAAUGAUGAUCACAUUCGGUUGAUUGGAUUGAAGGAAAAAACAUCUUUCUAUCUUCAAAUCGGAAUUCGGUUAGAGCCAGCCAUUGUUGCUUCUUUGUGCUACUGAUAAGAUCGAAUUCUGCUCAUGAAACAUGUGUUUCUGUUUCUUAUUACGGAAAAUCUUCAGGACAAACUUGGGAUGAGUUAGCUUAGUUUCAUAUCUUCGCUCUAUAUUAAAAUAUGGAAAGUUGCAACGCUGGAGAUGCAGAUGAAUUUAAAUCAGGGGAAGCUAAAAUCAGAAAACAGAAACAUGAUUUUUCAAAGCUUGCUUUUGGAAAGAGUUGUGAGGUACCUUCUCUUGAAGCCAAAUUUGUGUGGUAUGAAUUCAAACGCAGAGUGGAUCGAAACUCAUAAAUGCAUCAUAGGAGAACAGUAGGAAGAGAUUCAAUCAACUAAGAAACUUGAGAAGCCCCAAGAACAUAAGCUCAUGGAGAAGCCAUUUCAGCGGGAACUGGUGAAAAUUCUAUCUCCAUAGCUUGAAACAAGUGAAAGAUUAGUAGUCACGUUAAAAAUGAUAUUGAUUAUGUUUGACCCUGUCAAAGAUUGUAUUUUUGCAAGACAUGUUAAGAAUUAUAUAUGGGCCAGUUUUUACAUGAGAAGUGCGUAUGGGAGGAUAAAGAAGAUGAAUGAUAUGGCUGGUAAUGCUUACCUUCGGUUCGGAUGAAGAAAGUAGGUUCAGAACUUACUUCAAGUUUAUGCACAGAUCUUAUUCAUGCUUACUCUGUUAGAGUGUUGAAGCUAAGAUGCAAA
Molecule: long non-coding RNA, 1464 nt
Organism: Brassica napus (rape)
Lineage: Eukaryota; Viridiplantae; Streptophyta; Magnoliopsida; Brassicales; Brassicaceae
Exons: 3
Source: RefSeq, a predicted model, not a curated record